AUCAUUGAAGGCUUAGCAAUGAAAUACUUCAUAAGUACAUGUAAUAUCUUCAUCCUUACUAUGUAAUUAGUGCAUUAUUGCUUAUCCCGAUGAAUAAUAUCUA
Molecule: non-coding RNA, 103 nt
Filed under: Callithrix jacchus (white-tufted-ear marmoset)
Lineage: Eukaryota; Metazoa; Chordata; Mammalia; Primates; Cebidae
Description: Mitochondrial DNA control region secondary structure A
Rfam family: Mitochondrial DNA control region secondary structure A
Source: Rfam by way of RNAcentral